This 462-nucleotide long non-coding RNA is filed under the name Carica papaya (papaya). Its description in RNAcentral is "long non-coding RNA (CPAP_LNC005126)". Lineage: Eukaryota; Viridiplantae; Streptophyta; Magnoliopsida; Brassicales; Caricaceae. The record is from RNAcentral.
UCCUCUUCUUCCUUUAGCUCUAUGCUUCUCACUAUUUUUCUCUUAUUUAGAAUAUCUCUUCCUCCCUUCUUCUAUCCCCUAUUUAUAGGAGUGGGGGGCCACGAGAGAAAGGUUGCCACCAUUCCGUCAUACCAUUUUAUCUAAAAGUUGCCACCUUUCAUCAUGUCACUUCACCUAAAAGGUUAUCACUUUUCACAUGUCGUUUGUCAUUUUAUUUAAAAGGGUUUUUCAUAUGUCACUUUAUUUAAAAGGCUUUUUCAUAAGUCACUUUAUUUAAAAGGUUGUCACUUUUCACAUGCCACUUCAUCUAAAAGAUGUCACUUUCAAUUAUGUCAUUUUAUCUAAUAGUUACCACUUUUUAUUAUACCAUUUAAUUUAAAAGGUUCACACCUUUUUCCAUGCCUCUUCAUACUUAUUCUAGCUCCUUCAUCCUCAUCCAUCAUUUUUCUGUUUGACUCUAAA